UGUUAAAAGAUUACGAUUUGCUUUGCUCUGUUUUUCCUCAGAGUAUGUGCAUAUGUGAUUUAUAUAUUUGUAGUACUGAAUAUAAACGGACCUUAAGAAGUAUUGGAGGCAAAGAAACCCGACUCCAGCUGCAAAAGAAUCUUCUAGCAAUUGAUUAGACAUGUAUGACUACCAUUCAGUUUUCUCCCUACUAGAAGUGGGAAAGAAGACAAGAGUGCACCAUUUAAAUGGAUCCGAACCAUAUACUGACACUAAGUAAGUUUAAGGCAUUGCACAGAUCCACUUGCAAGACCCGAAAUCCAUGUGGUUCUGGUUAGAUUAAAUAAGAACGGAGUCAUUUUAUAAAGGAGAGAUUCUGGUUGGGUGCGCAACAUCAACCCAUCUACGAGAUCGGACCAUAAAAGGGCAAACGCAAGCAUCUCAAUGGAAAAAGCCAGAUAAAUCAAAAGCCACCUUUAAUGGACCCAUUAAAACUUCCACCCACGCAACCGCCUAUCACCGAAAUCCGUGAAAGAACUAUGCCGCCAACACCUCAACGCCGUACGAAAACCCGUCUAAUCCGCACAGCCCUAAAGGCCAGGUUUAUAGCCAAAUUUUAAGAGCUCUACGCCUGCCGGAACGGCACUACGAUCGAGCACUUUCACUGUGGGCCCAAAACGAGAAGGCUGAAUACAAAUUGUGCAACAUGCGCCCAACGGUUAAAGUGAAAAAAUACCUGGAUAUGCCCGUCAUAAUUUUUGAAGUGUCAUAAAAAUAUCUCCAUAAGCAGACGAAACUAUUAAAUUGGCUCAUUAAUCAAUUUAGUCACAGAGCAACGAUAAAAAGGAGCACACACGCGAGGGAUUGGAGCACAAUAAAGCCCGCUCAUCAGGCGGGGGGUCUCUGUCCCCCUCCUACCUGCGAUGGCGACUGGGAGUGGGCCUGGGCCUGGCCAACAAUCGAAUCCAUUUAUUCAGCCCUGUGUUCGGGCUGGCUUUAAAAACCUAUAAAGCUUUUGGCACAAAUCAAUUAAA
Molecule: long non-coding RNA, 1013 nt
Organism: Drosophila pseudoobscura
Lineage: Eukaryota; Metazoa; Arthropoda; Insecta; Diptera; Drosophilidae
Exons: 5
Source: RefSeq, a predicted model, not a curated record